GUCCCUACGGGAGGCAGCAGUGGGGAAUAUUGCACAAUGGGGGAAACCCUGAUGCAGCAACGCCGCGUGAGUGAAGAAGUAUCUCGGUAUGUAAAGCUCUAUCAGCAGGGAAGAAAAUGACGGUACCUGACUAAGAAGCCCCGGCUAACUACGUGCCAGCAGCCGCGGUAAUACGUAGGGGGCAAGCGUUAUCCGGAUUUACUGGGUGUAAAGGGAGCGUAGACGGUGUGGCAAGUCUGAAGUG
Molecule: ribosomal RNA, 244 nt
Filed under: uncultured bacterium
Lineage: Bacteria
Description: partial 16S ribosomal RNA
Rfam family: Bacterial small subunit ribosomal RNA
Source: RNAcentral